Molecule: ribosomal RNA, 460 nt
Filed under: uncultured bacterium
Lineage: Bacteria
Description: partial 16S ribosomal RNA
Rfam family: Bacterial small subunit ribosomal RNA
Source: RNAcentral
CCUACGGGAGGCAGCAGUGAGGAAUAUUGGUCAAUGGACGAGAGUCUGAACCAGCCAAGUAGCGUGAAGGAUGACUGCCCUAUGGGUUGUAAACUUCUUUUAUAAAGGAAUAAAACGAGGCACGUGUGCCUUUUUGCAUGUACUUUAUGAAUAAGGAUCGGCUAACUCCGUGCCAGCAGCCGCGGUAAUACGGAGGAUCCGAGCGUUAUCCGGAUUUAUUGGGUUUAAAGGGAGCGUAGAUGGGUUGUUAAGUCAGUUGUGAAAGUUUGCGGCUCAACCGUAAAAUUGCAAUUGAUACUGGCAGUCUUGAGUACAGUUGUGGUAGGCGGAAUUCGUGGUGUAGCGGUGAAAUGCUUAGAUAUCACGAAGAACCCCGAUUGCGAAGGCAGCUUACUAAACUGUGACUGACAUUGAUGCUCGAAAGCGUGGGUAUCGAACAGGAUUAGAUACCCUAGUAGUC